This is a non-coding RNA of Podarcis lilfordi (Lilford's wall lizard), 69 nucleotides long. The record is from the annotation of a GenBank genome assembly. Lineage: Eukaryota; Metazoa; Chordata; Lepidosauria; Squamata; Lacertidae.
GCGUGGCUUAGUGGUUUACAGAGUUGGACUAGGAUCUGCGAGACCAGGGUUCAAGUCCCUGCUGAGCCA